UGGGGAAUAUUGCACAAUGGGCGCAAGCCUGAUGCAGCCAUGCCGCGUGUAUGAAGAAGGCCUUCGGGUUGUAAAGUACUUUCAGCGGGGAGGAAGGGAGUAAAGUUAAUACCUUUGCGCAUUGACGUUACCCGCAGAAGAAGCACCGGCUAACUCCGUGCCAGCAGCCGCGGUAAUACGGAGGGUGCAAGCGUUAAUCGGAAUUACUGGGCGUAAAGCGCACGCAGGCGGUUUGUUAAGUCAGAUGUGAAAUCCCCGGGCUCAACCUGGGAACUGCAUCUGAUACUGGCAAGCUUGAGUCUCGUAGAGGGGGGUAGAAUUCCAGGUGUAGCGGUGAAAUGCGUAGAGAUCUGGAGGAAUACCGGUGGCGAAGGCGGCCCCCUGGGCGAAGACUGACGCUCAGGUGCGAAAGCGUGGGGAGCAAACAGG
This 429-nucleotide ribosomal RNA is filed under the name Chloroflexota bacterium. Its description in RNAcentral is "Chloroflexi bacterium partial 16S ribosomal RNA". It matches the Rfam family "Bacterial small subunit ribosomal RNA", at positions 355 to 776 of the family's 1533-position model. The record is from RNAcentral. Lineage: Bacteria; Bacillati; Chloroflexota.